GUAGGGUCUUUUGCGCAAUGGACCUAAAGUCUGGCGGCGCGAAUUUCGCCGUGUGACGUGAUGAAGUUUCUUUCGGGUCGUCAAACUCUGUUGUUGGCGGCUAGAACAAGUGCUAGUUGAAUAAGGUGGGGCCUUGCCGGUUCCUUACCAGGAGGCCAGGGCUAACUACUUGCCAGCAGCCGCGGUAAUACUUUGGUGGCUAGCGUUAUCCGGAAUUAUUGGGCGUUUAGCGGGCGCAGGUGGUUUCUUAAUUCUGAAUGUUAACAGCCCACGGUUCAACCGUGGAGGGUCAUUGGAAACUGGGAGACUUGAGUGCAGAAGAGGAAAGUGGAAUUCCAUGUGUAGCGGUGAUAUGCGUAGAGAUAUGGAGGAACACCAGUGGCGAAGGCGACUUUCUGGUCUGUAACUGACUCUGAGGCGCGAAAGUUUGGGGAGCAAACCGGAUUAGAUACCCUGGUAGUCCACGCCGUAAACUAUUCGUGCUAAGUGUUAGAGGGUUUCCGCCCUUUUAGUCCUGAAGUCACUCAGCGAAGCGUUGCUCCGUCGGACUUUGAGCCAU
RNAcentral lists this ribosomal RNA (559 nucleotides) under Bacillus anthracis (anthrax bacterium). RNAcentral describes it as "bacterial SSU rRNA". It matches the Rfam family "Bacterial small subunit ribosomal RNA", at positions 354 to 873 of the family's 1533-position model. Lineage: Bacteria; Bacillati; Bacillota; Bacilli; Caryophanales; Bacillaceae. The record is from RNAcentral.